RNAcentral lists this long non-coding RNA (165 nucleotides) under Mustela putorius furo (domestic ferret). RNAcentral describes it as "lncRNA (ENSMPUG00000027294.1)". Lineage: Eukaryota; Metazoa; Chordata; Mammalia; Carnivora; Mustelidae. The record is from RNAcentral.
UGUCAAUUUCUUUUUAUCUUUACAUGCCACUGUUGUCUAAGAAUUCACUUGGGUCCAUGCAAUAGCGCCUAAUGGAUUUUCCAGUCCACUCUUGAGACCCCUUUGAUCUCUUCUCUGCCUGGCAGCCAAACACUUAACAGUACCUUGCUGAAUAGGAGUAAUGAG